RNAcentral lists this ribosomal RNA (476 nucleotides) under uncultured bacterium. RNAcentral's name for it is "bacterial SSU rRNA". It matches the Rfam family "Bacterial small subunit ribosomal RNA", at positions 325 to 793 of the family's 1533-position model. The record is from RNAcentral.
CACUGUCACUCCUACGGGGAGCAGCAGUGGGAAUAUUGCACAAUGGGCGCAAGCCUGAUGCAGCCAUGCCGCGUGUAUGAAGAAGGCCUUCGGGUUGUAAAGUACUUUCAGUCGUGAGGAAGGCGGCGUCGUUAAUAGCGGCGUUGUUUGACGUUAGCGACAGAAGAAAGCACCGGCUAACUCCGUGCCAGCAGCCGCGGUAAUACGGAGGUGCGAGCGUUAAUCGGAAUUACUGGGCGUAAAGCGCAUGCAGGUGGUUUGUUAAGUCAGAUGUGAAAGCCCGGGGCUCAACCUCGGAAUUGCAUUUGUAAACUGGCAGACUAGAGUACUGUAGAGGGGGGUAGGAAUUUCAGGUGUAGCGGUGAAAUAGCGUAGAGAUCUGAAGGAAUACCGGUGGCGAAGGCGGCCCCCUCGGACAGAUACUGACACUCAGAUGCGAAAGCGUGGGGAGCAAACAGGAUUAGAUACCCUGGUAG